ACGGAAGGCAGCAGUGGGGGAUAUUGCACAAUGGGGGAAACCCUGAUGCAGCGACGCCGCGUGAGUGAUGAAGUAUUUCGGUAUGUAAAGCUCUAUCAGCAGGGAAGAAAAUGACGGUACCUGACUAAGAAGCACCGGCUAAAUACGUGCCAGCAGCCGCGGUAAUACGUAUGGUGCAAGCGUUAUUCGGAUUUACUGGGUGUAAAGGGAGCGUAGACGGCAUGGCAAGUCUGAAGUGAAAUGCGGGGGCUCAACCCCUGAACUGCUUUGGAAACUGUCAAGCUAGAGUGUCGGAGAGGUAAGUGGAAUUCCUAGUGUAGCGGUGAAAUGCGUAGAUAUUAGGAGGAACACCAGUGGCGAAGGCGGCUUACUGGACGAUAACUGACGUUGAGGCUCGAAAGCGUGGGGAGCAAACAGGAUUAGAUACCCUGGUA
Molecule: ribosomal RNA, 434 nt
Filed under: uncultured bacterium
Lineage: Bacteria
Description: partial 16S ribosomal RNA
Rfam family: Bacterial small subunit ribosomal RNA
Source: RNAcentral